Oncorhynchus kisutch (coho salmon) is the source of this 1633-nucleotide long non-coding RNA. The record is from Ensembl. Lineage: Eukaryota; Metazoa; Chordata; Actinopteri; Salmoniformes; Salmonidae.
UAAUGAAUUGUCUUGUUUUAUUAUGCCCACUGCCAUAUCAACCUUCAGUCUAAAGGUAGUCUUGCUCUUCUAGGGCCUGACGCUGACAACAGCCAUGGGUGAUCAUCACGGUGCUCAGCAGCUACUCCGGCUGGGCCCUGUCUGCUGAGGGUUUCCUACUAAGCAACAACCUGCUCAACAUCGUAGGGGCCCUCAUCGGCUCCUCAGGGGCCAUUCUCUCCUGCGUCGUGUGUGGGGCUAGGCCAUGAACCGUUCCCUUGCCAACGUACAUCAUCCACUGGGUCAGGCAAGCCCAUGGAGAUCAUAGGAACGUGGACCAGACUGUCAAAAUGAUCGAAGACGCCCACAACAUCAUCAUCACUCCAGUUUGGUAUCCACCCGGAAUGCCUUGGUAGCUCAACGUGCUAUUGGCCGAGGUGGGCAUUCCCUAUGACAUCGUGCUGGAGAUGGAGGAGAUCAACGAGGACUUUGCUGAAACGGACCUGGUUCUGGUGAUUGGUGCAAACGACACAGUGAACUCUGCAGCCCAGGAGGACCCCAACUCCAUCAUCGAAUCCAUGAAGAGUGAACGAGUAUACACUUCAAGGGGGAAGAAAAGGUGGUUGUAAUGAAGCGUUCUCUGGGAGUGGGCUAUGCUGCAUUGGACAACCCCAUCUUCUACAAGCCCAACACAGCCAUGUUGCUUGGAGAUGCCAAGACGACCUGCGAUGCUCUGCGGGCUAAAGUCCGCGAGGCCAGCUAGUGAGCCGUGGCUGGUCCAGUAGGGCUCGGGCCUGUCUGACUGAGCAGCAGGUGGGAUGGAGAGGUGGUGCAGAGGUCCAGGGCACCACAACACAUGUUGGGCACAAACAAGCUAAUAGUUAGACAUAGCAUUAGUGUAUUGAUGUUGUCGUUUUCCUCUCCUGGCGACAAGUUUUCCUCCUCCCUUUUUCUUCUGAACAGUUGUUUGCUCUGAUGAUGAUGAGUAGGUGUUCUCUUCUUUCUUCGAUGUUUGUGACACCAUUGUUGUGCCAUGAGUAUUCUCUUCUCAGCCUCUUUUUCUAAGGAAGGGAAAAAAAUGCAAAACAGUGACAUGCUUUUUAUACCGUAGUUAGAUUUUUGUACUUGACAAAGUGUCAAAAUCGUUUGCGUUUAGCUCCUUCUGGCUUAGCAGCAACUGUUGCGUGAUUAAGUACAAUGUAAAGCCAUAUUCAGUAAUGGCAACUCUUAACUGUAUGCUUUUUUUGUGCAACAUGUGUGCUUACAGUGUAAUGACUAGCUUUGUGAUGUAGCACUAAUGUUACAUGUGAUUAUAACCUUUCAUAAGAAGGAUUUAGUGAAUGUGGCUCCAGUUGGCCCUCUGCCACACAGCUAAUCUCUUCCUCUUAGCACUAGAGGGACGUUGAAAGAACAGAGCAGAUAUGAAGUAAAGCUAAAUGAGUUUAAUAAGACAUGGACACCAUAAUAUAACUGUUAGAAUUGAUCAUCAAUUAUGAGAUGAUGGGCUUGAUUUAGCAUUGAUACGUUUAUGAGUUGCCGAUUUUGUCAAAUGGUUGGAGGGCAAGUCCUGCCAUGUCUGUGCCAAGCUCUUUCCUUAUGCCUUCAUCCAGAUAGAAUCCCUGUUUGCUUCCUUACUGGGACCAGGUACAAUGCA